Molecule: non-coding RNA, 29 nt
Filed under: Rattus norvegicus (Norway rat)
Lineage: Eukaryota; Metazoa; Chordata; Mammalia; Rodentia; Muridae
Source: RNAcentral
UGACCCCUCAAGUUAUACUUCUCUUUGAA